AAUCAACGCUGGCGGCGUGCCUAACACAUGCAAGUCGAACGAGAAAGGGACUUCGGUCCUGAGUAUAGUGGCGCACGGGUGAGUAACACGUGACUAAUCUACCCUCAAGUGGGGAAUAACCAAGAGAAAUCUUGGCUAAUACCGCAUAACACUUACGAGUCAAAGCAGUAAUGCGCUUGGGGAGGAGGUCGCGGCAGAUUAGCUAGUUGGCGGGGUAAUGGCCCACCAAGGCGAUGAUCUGUAUCCGGCCUGAGAGGGCGCACGGACACACUGGAAC
RNAcentral lists this ribosomal RNA (277 nucleotides) under uncultured bacterium. RNAcentral's name for it is "partial 16S ribosomal RNA". It matches the Rfam family "Bacterial small subunit ribosomal RNA", at positions 32 to 319 of the family's 1533-position model. The record is from RNAcentral.